This 469-nucleotide long non-coding RNA is filed under the name Capsicum annuum. RNAcentral's name for it is "long non-coding RNA (CANN_LNC013575)". The record is from RNAcentral. Lineage: Eukaryota; Viridiplantae; Streptophyta; Magnoliopsida; Solanales; Solanaceae.
CUACACAUCACAAUCAUAAACAAGAACCAAAAACUACAAUCUAAUCAUCUGAUUCAUUAUCUUCCUCAUCCUCAAAUACUUGAGGCAUAUGCUUCUUGACUAACGCCUCAAACUUAGCAAACUUGGCAUCACUAACUGCACACUGUUGCGUCAACUCUUCAAUUUUCUUUUUCAUCGCUUCCAUUUCUUUCGCAUCGCUUCAAUUUUUAACUUUUCUUUUCAUCGCUUCCAUUUCUUAGACAAACCUAAGUCAAAUCUGUGCACUCACUUGUGCUUUCAACAAGGUCACAAUCCAUUCAGGUACGUUUGGGAAAACUAUGGGGAACCUAGAAAAACAAGGGUUUGACUUAUCUAUUCUACAUAAUAAUAUACUGGCAGUUCUAAACAUUAUUUGCACAAUCCUAACAAAAUGGGAUUAGUGAUCAUUAACAUUACCUGUUGAUGCCAUUGAUUUUCUUUACUAACCACC